Molecule: ribosomal RNA, 253 nt
Filed under: uncultured bacterium
Lineage: Bacteria
Description: partial 16S ribosomal RNA
Rfam family: Bacterial small subunit ribosomal RNA
Source: RNAcentral
UACGUAGGGGGCAAGCGUUAUCCGGAUUUACUGGGUGUAAAGGGAGCGUAGACGGUAAAGCAAGUCUGAAGUGAAAUGCCAGUGCUCAACACUGGAACUGCUUUGGAAACUGUUUGGCUGGAGUGCAGGAGAGGUAAGUGGAAUUCCUAGUGUAGCGGUGAAAUGCGUAGAUAUUAGGAGGAACACCAGUGGCGAAGACGGCUUACUGGACUGUAACUGACGUUGAGGCUCGAAAGCGUGGGGAGCAAACAGG